UACGGAGGAUGCGAGCGUUAUCCGGAUUUAUUGGGUUUAAAGGGUGCGUAGGCGUGCUUUUAAGUCAGCGGUAAAAAUUCGGGGCUCAACCCCGUCCGGCCGUUGAAACUGGGGGCCUUGAGUGGGCGAGAAGAAGGCGGAAUGCGUGGUGUAGCGGUGAAAUGCAUAGAUAUCACGCAGAACCCCGAUUGCGAAGGCAGCCUUCCGGCGCCCUACUGACGCUGAGGCACGAAAGUGCGGGGAUCGAACAGG
This 252-nucleotide ribosomal RNA is filed under the name uncultured bacterium. Its description in RNAcentral is "partial 16S ribosomal RNA". It matches the Rfam family "Bacterial small subunit ribosomal RNA", at positions 524 to 776 of the family's 1533-position model. The record is from RNAcentral.